RNAcentral lists this unclassified non-coding RNA (1350 nucleotides) under Hevea brasiliensis (rubber tree). Lineage: Eukaryota; Viridiplantae; Streptophyta; Magnoliopsida; Malpighiales; Euphorbiaceae. The record is from RNAcentral.
UGGCGCAGAGAGCUUCUAAGUCAAGGUAUUGGAUGGCAUAUGAAUAACGGUUCCUCAAUUUUGCGUAAGGAACAAGUGGAUUCCCGACUCCUUUCCUAGUGCCCCGAGAAUUAGAGAUAAUCCUAACCCGAGUAUUCAUUGGGCUUCUCAGUUGGUGGAUUGGGUUCAGUUUCAAUGGGACACUAAUGUGCUUCGAUAGAUCUUCCAAGAUGAGGAAAUUCGGAAUAUUCUUGCAAUUUCUAUCAAUUUGAUUAACAGGGAAGAUCGUAUUGUUUGGCAUUUCACAAAGGAUGGAACCUGCUCAAUGAAAUCUGGUUACCACCUAGCCCAAUUUUCUAAAAUUGAUCACUCAUUUUCCUCUCUGGCAGGCCAAGUCCAAUUUCAAUUAUGAAUAAUGCAGCCUUUUGGAAGCAAAUUUGGAGACUUCGUCUCCCCCCUAAGUUGGCUGUGUUUUAAUGGCGCUUUCUGAAAGAGAAGCUUCCAAUAAAUGUAGUCCUAAAAACUCAUUUUCCCCAUUUCUCUGAUGAAUGUCCAGCUUGUGGAGAGAAGGAAACCUUCAGGCAUCUGUUUUUUCUUGCCCAUCUACAAUAGCAAUAUGGCUGCAUUCUUCUAAUCUUGCAAGCAUUUCUAUGAUAGAUUGUUGGUGUGAAAUAUUCUCCGAAAUUGCUAAUCGUGUGCAAGGACAGGAACUCAUUCAGCUGUCUGUUUUUUUACUUUGGCAAAUUUGGAAAAAUAAACGCAAGCGAAUUUUCAAGGGCGAUCCUCUCCCUUAUCAGCAAGUCAUUCAAGCUGCUCAAAUGCACUUUGAUGAUUUCCUUACAGCUCAAGAUGGUCCCACUCAACGGAUUCAAUCCGAUCGUCAUGACCAUAUCUAGACUCCUCCAAUGGCUAUGGUUAAAAUCAACUCUGAUGCCACUACUUGCAUCCAACGCAACUUUGGAACCAUAGCUGCCAUUGCUAGAGAUGAUAACGGCGGGCCUUUUGGAUGGAGCCGCAAAAAGAUUAAAGGAAUCACUGAUCCCCUUAUCCUGGAAUGUAUAGCGUGUAGAGAAGCUACUAUUUUGGCAAAAUUGCAGAAUCAUGGUGGAAGAAGAUUCCCAAGUGGUUAUCAACAGCAUAAGUGGAGCCUUGAUCCCUCAAAGUAUCCACGGUCUCGUAAACGAUGUGUUAUCUGUGUCUCAAGAUUUUAAUUUUUUAUCUUUUAAUUUCAUUGGAAGGUCGGGUAACAAAAUGACACACUCUUUAGUAGCUAAAUCUCUAGCGUAUGAUUCCUUUUUGUGUUAUCCAAUGGCCCAAGUAGUCCUUAUAUAUUCUCUUCGGCCUUCCUAGACUGUUCAAUGAAAGAUGUCC